CGGUAAUACGGAGGGUGCAAGCGUUAAUCGGAAUUACUGGGCGUAAAGCGUGCGUAGGUGGUUUGUUAAGUCAGAUGUGAAAGCCCCGGGCUCAACCUGGGAACUGCAUUUGAAACUGACUAACUAGAGUAUAGGAGAGGAAAGUGGAAUUUCUGGUGUAGCGGUGAAAUGCGUAGAUAUCAGAAGGAACAUCAAUGGCGAAGGCAGCUUUCUGGACUAAUACUGACACUGAGGUACGAAAGCGUGGGUAGCAAACAGGAUUAGAUACCCUGGUAGUCCACGCCGUAAACGAUGACAACUAGCCGUUGGGAGGGUUUACCUCUUAGUGGCGAAGCUAACGCGUUAAGUUGUCCGCCUGGGGAGUACGGCCGCAAGGUUAAAACUCA
This 386-nucleotide ribosomal RNA is filed under the name uncultured Gammaproteobacteria bacterium. Its description in RNAcentral is "bacterial SSU rRNA". It matches the Rfam family "Bacterial small subunit ribosomal RNA", at positions 518 to 903 of the family's 1533-position model. The record is from RNAcentral. Lineage: Bacteria; Pseudomonadati; Pseudomonadota; Gammaproteobacteria.